UGGGGAAUAUUGCGCAAUGGGGGGAACCCUGACGCAGCCAUGCCGCGUGAAUGAAGAAGGCCUUAGGGUUGUAAAGUUCUUUCGGUAUUGAGGAAGGUUGAUGUGUUAAUAGCACAUCAAAUUGACGUUAAAUACAGAAGAAGCACCGGCUAACUCCGUGCCAGCAGCCGCGGUAAUACGGAGGGUGCGAGCGUUAAUCGGAAUAACUGGGCGUAAAGGGCACGCAGGCGGUUAUUUAAGUGAGGUGUGAAAGCCCCGGGCUUAACCUGGGAAUUGCAUUUCAGACUGGGUAACUAGAGUACUUUAAGGAGGGGUAGAAUUCCACGUGUAGCGGUGAAAUGCGUAGAGAUGUGGAGGAAUACCGAAGGCGAAGGCAGCCCCUUGGGAAUGUACUGACGCUCAUGUGCGAAAGCGUGGGGAGCAAACAGGAUUAGAUACCCUGGUAGUCCACGCUGUAAACGCUGUCGAUUUGGGGGUUGGGGUUUAACUCUGACGCCCGUAGCUAACGUGAUAAAUCGACCGCCUGGGGAGUACGGCCGCAAGGUUA
Molecule: ribosomal RNA, 547 nt
Filed under: uncultured bacterium
Lineage: Bacteria
Description: bacterial SSU rRNA
Rfam family: Bacterial small subunit ribosomal RNA
Source: RNAcentral